AGCAACGCGCAGAACCUUACCAACCCUUGACAUCCUUGGACCGCUAGAGAGAUCUAGUUUUCUCGUAAGAGACCAAGUGACAGGUGCUGCAUGGCUGUCGUCAGCUCGUGUCGUGAGAUGUUCGGUUAAGUCCGGCAACGAGCGCAACCCACAUCUUUAGUUGCCAGCAGGUUAAGCUGGGCACUCUAGAGAAACUGCCCGUGAUAAGCGGGAGGAAGGUGUGGAUGACGUCAAGUCCUCAUGGCCCUUACGGGUUGGGCUACACACGUGCUACAAUGGCAUCAACAAUGGGUUAAUCCCUAAAAGAUGUCUCAGUUCGGAUUGGGGUCUGCAACUCGACCCCAUGAAGUCGGAAUCGCUAGUAAUCGCGUAACAGCAUGACGCGGUGAAUACGUUCCCGGGCCUUGNUNCACACCGCCCNGUCACACCAUGGGNNAGUUGGAUCUACCCGAAGGNCGUGCGCNANCCNNNANGGGNG
RNAcentral lists this ribosomal RNA (478 nucleotides) under uncultured bacterium. RNAcentral's name for it is "partial 16S ribosomal RNA". It matches the Rfam family "Bacterial small subunit ribosomal RNA", at positions 955 to 1449 of the family's 1533-position model. The record is from RNAcentral.